RNAcentral lists this transfer RNA (82 nucleotides) under Salmonella enterica subsp. enterica serovar Lubbock. RNAcentral describes it as "tRNA-Arg". It matches the Rfam family "tRNA", at positions 13 to 71 of the family's 71-position model. From Rfam's summary of the family: Transfer RNA (tRNA) molecules are approximately 80 nucleotides in length. The record is from RNAcentral. Lineage: Bacteria; Pseudomonadati; Pseudomonadota; Gammaproteobacteria; Enterobacterales; Enterobacteriaceae.
GAUCCGGCUGAGGCGAAUUGGGAGGAUAGACAACGGCCUUCUAAGCCGUGGGUCGCAGGUUCGAAUCCUGCAGGGUGCGCCA